GACGAACGCUGGCGGCGUGCUUAACACAUGCAAGUCGAACGGAAAGGCCCUGCUUUUGUGGGGUGCUCGAGUGGCGAACGGGUGAGUAACACGUGAGUAACCUGCCCUGGACUUUGGGAUAACUUCAGGAAACUGGGGCUAAUACCGGAUAGGAGCUCCUGCUGCAUGGUGGGGGUUGGAAAGUUUCGGCGGUGGGGGAUGGACGCGCGGCUUAUCAGCUUGUUGGGGGGGUAGUGGCUUACCAAGGCUUUGACGGGUAGCCGGCCUGAGAGGGUGACCGGCCACCUUGGGACUGAGAGACGGCCCAGACUCCUACGGGAGGCAGCAGUGGGGAAUAUUGCACAAUGGGCGGAAGCCUGAUGCAGCAACGCCGCGUGCGGGAUGACGGCCUUCGGGUUGUAAACCGCUUUCGCCUGUGACGAAGCGUGAGUGACGGUAAUGGGUAAAGAAGCACCGGCUAACUACGUG
RNAcentral lists this ribosomal RNA (468 nucleotides) under uncultured bacterium. RNAcentral describes it as "partial 16S ribosomal RNA". It matches the Rfam family "Bacterial small subunit ribosomal RNA", at positions 28 to 507 of the family's 1533-position model. The record is from RNAcentral.